Molecule: unclassified non-coding RNA, 352 nt
Filed under: soil metagenome
Description: partial contains 5.8S ribosomal RNA, internal transcribed spacer 2, and large subunit ribosomal RNA
Rfam family: 5.8S ribosomal RNA (bases 1-120)
Source: RNAcentral
GAUGAAGAACGUAGCGAAAUGCGAUAAUUAAUGUGAAUUGCAGAAUUUAGUGAAUCAUCGAAUCUUUGAACGCACAUUGCGCCCCUUGGUAUUCCGGGGGGCAUGCCUGUUCGAGCGUCAUUUCAACCCUCAAGCCCCCGGGCCUGGCGUUGGGGAUCGGCGGAGCCCCCCGUGGGCACACGCCGUCCCCCAAAUACAGUGGCGGUCCCGCCGCAGCUUCCAUCGCGUAGUAGCUAACACCUCGCGACUGGAGAGCGGCGCGGCCACGCCGUAAAACACCCAACUCUUCUGAAGUUGACCUCGAAUCAGGUAGGAAUACCCGCUGAACUUAAGCAUAUCAAUAAGCGGAGGA